This 301-nucleotide ribosomal RNA is filed under the name uncultured bacterium. RNAcentral's name for it is "partial 16S ribosomal RNA". It matches the Rfam family "Bacterial small subunit ribosomal RNA", at positions 509 to 807 of the family's 1533-position model. The record is from RNAcentral.
CAGCCGCCACGGGAAUACGUAGGGUGCAAGCGUUGUCCGGAAUUAUUGGGCGUAAAGAGCGUGUAGGCGGCUCGACAAGUCCGCUGUGAAAGUCCAGGGCUCAACCCUGGAAUGCCGGUGGAUACUGUCGAGCUAGAGUCCGGAAGGGGCGAGUGGAACUCCUGGUGUAGCGGUGAAAUGCGCAGAUAUCAGGAAGAACACCAAUGGCGAAGGCAGCUCGCUGGGACGUGACUGACGCUGAGACGCGAAAGCGUGGGGAGCGAACAGGAUUAGAUACCCCUGUAGUCCCUGUCUCUUAUAC